CUCUAGCAAUCAGACUUCAGUCGGAUUUCUCCAACAGAAAGUUUUCGUCCGGGCUUCUACAGCAGAUGACUUCCGUCUGUAGCAUCAAUGCCUAAGACACCCCAUAACAGUUAACCCAUCAGCAACCUCGGAAAUAUCUGAGCUUCUCUUAGAUUGCUGAGACAGAGAGCUAUUCCGCUCCACCAGACGUUCCAACCGAGCUUCAGCCGUCCGGCCCGAACUUCCCAGCAAGUCACGACAACGGACACCACUCCACUCUCUGUAACACACUCCACGUGGCCCCACCACUCUUUGGUAAGUCGCGACAAUGGACACCACUACUCUCCAUAACAAACUCCAUGUGGCCCCGAACGGCUCACUACCAGGC
RNAcentral lists this long non-coding RNA (367 nucleotides) under Elaeis guineensis (African oil palm). Its description in RNAcentral is "long non-coding RNA (EGUI_LNC051235)". The record is from RNAcentral. Lineage: Eukaryota; Viridiplantae; Streptophyta; Magnoliopsida; Arecales; Arecaceae.